Molecule: ribosomal RNA, 216 nt
Filed under: Glomeromycotina sp.
Lineage: Eukaryota; Fungi; Glomeromycota
Description: partial small subunit ribosomal RNA
Rfam family: Eukaryotic small subunit ribosomal RNA (bases 40-216)
Source: RNAcentral
GGGUCAGUAGGUUGGUCGUGCCACCGGUACGUACUGGUCUCACUGAUUCCUCCUUCCUGAAGAACCGUAAUGCCAUUAAUUUGGUGUUGCGGGGAAACAGGACUGUUACUUUGAAAAAAUUAGAGUGUUUAAAGCAGGCUAACGCUUGAAUACAUUAGCAUGGAAUAAUGAAAUAGGGCGAUCGAUCCUAUUUUGUUGGUUUCUAGGAUUGACGUA